Molecule: ribosomal RNA, 427 nt
Filed under: uncultured Legionellaceae bacterium
Lineage: Bacteria; Pseudomonadati; Pseudomonadota; Gammaproteobacteria; Legionellales; Legionellaceae
Description: bacterial SSU rRNA
Rfam family: Bacterial small subunit ribosomal RNA
Source: RNAcentral
AGUGGGGAAUAUUGGACAAUGGGGGCAACCCUGAUCCAGCAAUGCCGCGUGUGUGAAGAAGGCCUGAGGGUUGUAAAGCACUUUCAGUGGGGAGGAAAGGAUGAUAGUUAAUAGCUGUUAUCUGUGACGUUACCCACAGAAGAAGCACCGGCUAACUCCGUGCCAGCAGCCGCGGUAAUACGGAGGGUGCAAGCGUUAAUCGGAAUUACUGGGCGUAAAGCGCGCGUAGGUGGUUUAAUAAGUUGUCUGUGAAAGCCCUGGGCUCAACCUGGGAAAGCCAGGCAAAACUAUUAGACUAGAGUACGAGAGAGGGUAGUGGAAUUUCCAGUGUAGCGGUGAAAUGCGUAGAGAUUGGAAGGAACACCAGUGGCGAAGGCGGCUACCUGGCUUGAUACUGACACUGAGGUGCGAAAGCGUGGGGAGCAAA